GACGAACGCUGGCGGCGUGCUUAACACAUGCAAGUCGAACGGAAAGGCCUGCUUUCCCUUGUGGAUUGCGGGUACUCGCGUGGCGAACGGGUGAGUAACACGUGAGUGAUCUGCCCCCAACUUGGGUAUAAGCCUGGGAAACUGGGUCUAAUUCCCGAUAGGACUGCAGGGUGGUGCCUGUGGUGGAAAACGAUUUUCUAGUGGUUGGGGAUGAGCUCGCGGCCUAUCAGCUUGUUGGUGGGGUAAUGGCCUACCAAGGCGGCGACGGGUAGCCGGCCUGGGAGGGUGGACGGGCACAGUGGGACUGAGAUACGGCCCAGACUCCUACGGGAGGCAGCAGUGGGGAGUAUUGCACAAUGGGCGGAAGCCUGAGGCAGCGACGCCGCGGGGGGGAUGACGGCCUUCGGGUUGUAAACUCCUUUCGACCGCGAGGAAGCCACCUGGUUGGAAGGGUGGUGACGGUAGUGGUAGAAGAAGCACCGGCUAACUACGUG
RNAcentral lists this ribosomal RNA (494 nucleotides) under uncultured bacterium. Its description in RNAcentral is "partial 16S ribosomal RNA". It matches the Rfam family "Bacterial small subunit ribosomal RNA", at positions 28 to 507 of the family's 1533-position model. The record is from RNAcentral.